RNAcentral lists this ribosomal RNA (429 nucleotides) under uncultured archaeon. RNAcentral's name for it is "bacterial SSU rRNA". It matches the Rfam family "Archaeal small subunit ribosomal RNA", at positions 24 to 458 of the family's 1478-position model. The record is from RNAcentral.
CCCGACUGCUAUCAGAGUGGGACUAAGCCAUGCGAGUCAACAUAGCAAUAUGUGGCAUACGGCUCAGUAACACGUAGUCAACAUGCCCAGGGGACGUGGAUAACCUCGGGAAACUGAGGAUAAACCGCGAUAGGUCAUCACUUCUGGAAUGGGUAAUGACUUAAACCUAUAUGGCCCCUGGAUUGGACUGCGGCCGAUCAGGCUGUUGGUGAGGUAAUGGCCCACCAAACCUGUAACCGGUACGGGCUCUGAGAGGAGGAGCCCGGAGAUGGGCACUGAGACAAGGGCCCAGGCCCUAUGGGGCGCAGCAGGCGCGAAACCUCUGCAAUAGGCGAAAGCUUGACAGGGUUACUCUGAGUGAUUUCCGUUAAGGAGAUCUUUUGGCACCUCUAAAAAUGGUGCAGAAUAAGGGGUGGGCAAGUCUGGUGU